RNAcentral lists this ribosomal RNA (253 nucleotides) under uncultured bacterium. Its description in RNAcentral is "partial 16S ribosomal RNA". It matches the Rfam family "Bacterial small subunit ribosomal RNA", at positions 524 to 776 of the family's 1533-position model. The record is from RNAcentral.
UACAGAGGGUGCAAGCGUUAAUCGGAAUUACUGGGCAUAAAGCGUGCGUAGACGGUUACAUAAGUCGGGUGUGAAAGCCCCGGGCUCAACCUGGGAAUUGCAUUCGAGACUGCGUAGCUAGGGUGCGGAAGAGGGAAGCGGAAUUUCCGGUGUAGCGGUGAAAUGCGUAGAUAUCGGAAGGAACACCAGUGGCGAAAGCGGCUUCCUGGUCCAGAACCGACGUUCAGGCACGAAAGCGUGGGGAGCAAACAGG